AAAGCAUUCUCUGGUGUUGAAGGCCCUGCAAAGCAGCAUCGCGGUGGCGGAGCGUCGUUUGCGACGCCCAACACACAAAACAAGCGGUGAAUGCUUUGGGGUGGGGUGACUGCGUACCUUUUGUAUAAUGGGUCAGCGACUUAUAUUCUGUAGCAAGGUUAACCGAAUAGGGGAGCCGGAGGGAAACCGAGUCUUAAUUGGGCGUUAAGUUGCAGGGUAUAGACCCGAAACCCGGUGAUCUAGCCAUGGGCAGGUUGAAGGUUGGGUAACACUAACUGGAGGACCGAACCGACUAAUGUUGAAAAAUUAGCGGAUGACCUGUGGCUGGGGGUGAAAGGCCAAUCAAACCGGGAGAUAGCUGGUUCUCCCCGAAAGCUAUUUAGGUAGCGCCUCGUGAAUUCAUCUCCGGGGGUAGAGCACUGUUUCGGCUAGGGGGCCAUCCCGGCUUACCAACCCGAUGCAAACUGCGAAUACCGGAGAAUGUUAUCACGGGAGACACACGGCGGGUGCUAACGUCCGUCGUGAAGAGGGAAACAACCCAGACCGCCAGCUAAGGUCCCAAAGUCAUGGUUAAGUGGGAAACGAUGUGGGAAGGCCCAGACAGCCAGGAUGUUGGCUUAGAAGCAGCCAUCAUUUAAAGAAAGCGUAAUAGCUCACUGGUCGAGUCGGCCUGCGCGGAAGAUGUAACGGGGCUAAACCAUGCAC
This 705-nucleotide ribosomal RNA is filed under the name Salmonella enterica subsp. enterica serovar Kisangani. RNAcentral describes it as "partial 23S ribosomal RNA". The stretch from base 80 to 705 matches the Rfam family "Bacterial large subunit ribosomal RNA", at positions 566 to 1194 of the family's 2925-position model. Lineage: Bacteria; Pseudomonadati; Pseudomonadota; Gammaproteobacteria; Enterobacterales; Enterobacteriaceae. The record is from RNAcentral.